Molecule: unclassified non-coding RNA, 888 nt
Filed under: Hevea brasiliensis (rubber tree)
Lineage: Eukaryota; Viridiplantae; Streptophyta; Magnoliopsida; Malpighiales; Euphorbiaceae
Source: RNAcentral
UCUCCAUUUGAUUUCACAUUUUAUGUAUAAAAUAGCCCCCAAAAUUUGAAUAAAGACUUCUCCUUUCUUCCUUGGCUCUUAAGCUUUUUCAGCUAUUUGACUAUUCAGAUCUCAGCUGAGUUUCUGGUGGCAGCUUUUCUUGGAGCAAAAAAUUGAGACAGUAACAAAACUUUGCUGAAAUGGCUAACCAUUAUGAUCGCAACCCUUUUGCUGAAGAAGAAGAAGUUAACCCUUUUGCUGAUGGCGGAGGCAGAGGGAAAUCUUCAGGGCAAUCAAAAUUUAGUGGAGGUGCAUUUUAUACCACAUCCGGGAGUGUGCCUCCAGCAACAAACUCCAGACUUUCACCCCUUCCGCCAGAACCAGCUGAUUUCUAUGACCGCAAUGCGUCAAUUGAUAUUCCUCUUGACAGUGCUUCGGACCUGAAAAAGAAAGAAAAAGAAUUACAGUCUAAGGAGAAUGAAUUGCGGAGGAGGGAACAGGAUCUAAAAAGGAGAGAAGAUGCUGCUGCACGAGCCGGCAUUGUUCUCGAGGAGAAAAAUUGGCCUCCGUUCUUCCCAAUCAUCCAUCAUGAUAUUGCAAAUGAAAUACCUAUUCACCUCCAGAGACUGCAAUAUGUUGCAUUUGCAUCAUAUUUAGGAUUGGUCGCAUGCCUAUUUUGGAAUAUAAUAGCAGUUACAACAGCAUGGAUUAAGGGGGAAGCCGUGACCAUCUGGUUCCUUGCCAUUAUAUACUUCAUCUCUGGUUGCCCUGGAGCUUAUGUCUUAUGGUAUCGCCCACUUUACAAUGCCAUGAGGACUGAGAGUGCUUUGAAAUUCGGAUGGUUUUUCUUGUUUUACCUGCUUCACAUUGCCUUUGUCGUCUUUUCUGCUGUUGCUCCUCCAGUUGUUU